AAUCCUGAUGGUAACUGAAGUGAGACUGUGCCGACGACGAUUGCAUCAACCUUGGAACCAUUUCCCACACGCAUCGUCACUUCAUCCUUCACUAGCCUUCGUUUAUUCCGCAGUUCGUGCUUCGAGUUGCAAAUAUGAGCAACAGAACCGGUAUCAAAUACCCAUGCACUACUACGAGAGUUGGUUAAGUACACAUCAAUAAC
Molecule: long non-coding RNA, 203 nt
Filed under: Hordeum vulgare
Lineage: Eukaryota; Viridiplantae; Streptophyta; Magnoliopsida; Poales; Poaceae
Description: long non-coding RNA (HVUL_LNC014971)
Source: RNAcentral